GCAUUGCCUCAGUAGCGGCGAGUGAAGCGGCAAGAGCUCAGAUUUGAAAUCGUGCUUUGCGGCACGAGUUGUAGAUUGCAGGUUGGAGUCUGUGUGGAAGGCGGUGUCCAAGUCCCUUGGAACAGGGCGCCCAGGAGGGUGAGAGCCCCGUGGGAUGCCGGCGGAAGCAGUGAGGCCCUUCUGACGAGUCGAGUUGUUUGGGAAUA
RNAcentral lists this ribosomal RNA (206 nucleotides) under Pichia kudriavzevii. RNAcentral describes it as "partial 26S ribosomal RNA". It matches the Rfam family "Eukaryotic large subunit ribosomal RNA", at positions 72 to 282 of the family's 3401-position model. The record is from RNAcentral. Lineage: Eukaryota; Fungi; Ascomycota; Pichiomycetes; Pichiales; Pichiaceae.